Molecule: unclassified non-coding RNA, 200 nt
Filed under: Pyrenochaetopsis sp.
Lineage: Eukaryota; Fungi; Ascomycota; Dothideomycetes; Pleosporales; Pyrenochaetopsidaceae
Description: partial internal transcribed spacer 2
Source: RNAcentral
UUAAGUUCAGCGGGUAUCCCUACCUGAUCCGAGGUCAAACGUUUGAAUAAGGCUUCAUGGACGCCGACGUAGAAGGGAGAGACGCAAAUUGUGCUGCGCUCUACCACCAGUACGUUGGCCGCCAAUCGCUUUCAGGCGAGUCCUUUGCAGGACAAACGCCCAACACCAAGCAGUGCUUGAGGGUACAAAAUGACGCUCGA